Molecule: long non-coding RNA, 742 nt
Organism: Gasterosteus aculeatus aculeatus (three-spined stickleback)
Lineage: Eukaryota; Metazoa; Chordata; Actinopteri; Perciformes; Gasterosteidae
Source: Ensembl
GAAGAUUGAACUUUUCAACUCCACUUCGGAGUGAUUUCUACACACUCUGCAUUGCUGGAACAACGGCCUGACUGACUCCGGGCUACAUUUCUUCUUGAGUGGCGUACCUGUUUGACGAGCCGGUGGAUGUACAUCACCAGCAACAACUGCACACCUUCGCUGUCAUCUGAAACAAAGAGAAUCUGCCAGAAGUCAUAUCCUACUUCUAACAAAUCAUUUGCCUUGGUGACUCACCCUGUCGCUCACCUCACACUCCCAUGGCCGCCUCAUCUUCAUCUGAACAUACGGCACUAUUCACCGCGCUGUCAAUUCAGCCUCUUUCAGGGAGCGCGCUGCACAUUCUGCAUACAAUGGCCACACUGCAAUAUCAGCGGUUACUCCUGGUGUGAUUGAUCAAGUCGCCUUGGACAGCCCCUGUAACAAGAGCUUGCUUGGUGCAGACUGGCUACGGGCACAUAACUCGCCACACAACCGUUUGAAAGAUGACAUUUUAUCAAGGCCAUCUUCAGUUGUGAGUACGGGUGAGUGCAGGCAGCGUUCAGGUCAAUUGUCCCCAGUGCCCAUAUGUGCUGCAAGGUGUCUGGACUGCCAUACAAAUUGCACUCUCUCUCUCCUUUUCACCCCACCACUUCCUCUCUCUCUCUCUCUCUCUCUCUCUCUCUCUUUCUGUCUCUGUCUCUGUCAUGCCUGCACAUGCUCACGAACACUGUUUACCGAGAGAGAGACAAAUACAUUGCAAACA